Molecule: ribosomal RNA, 468 nt
Filed under: uncultured bacterium
Lineage: Bacteria
Description: partial 16S ribosomal RNA
Rfam family: Bacterial small subunit ribosomal RNA
Source: RNAcentral
GACGAACGCUGGCGGCGUGCUUAACACAUGCAAGUCGAACGGAAAGGCCCUGCUUUUGUGGGGUGCUCGAGUGGCGAACGGGUGAGUAACACGUGAGUAACCUGCCCUUUACUUUGGGAUAACUUCAGGAAACUGGGGCGAAUACCGGAUAGGAGCUCCUUCUGCAUGGUGGUGGUUGGAAAGUUUCGGCGGUUGGGGAUGGACUCGAGGCUUAUCAGCUUGUUGGUGGGGUAGUGGCUUACCAAGGCUUUGACGGGUAGCCGGCCUGAGAGGGUGACCGGCCACAUUGGGACUGGGAUACGGCCCAUACUCCUACGGGAGGCAGAAGUGGGGAAUAUUGCACAAUGGGCGGAAGCCGGAUGCAGCAACGCCGCGUGCGGGAUGACGGCCUUCGGGUUGUAACCCGCUUUCGCCUGUGACGAAGCGUGAGUGACGGUAAUGGGUAAAGAAGCACCGGCUAACUACGUG